RNAcentral lists this long non-coding RNA (269 nucleotides) under Elaeis guineensis (African oil palm). Its description in RNAcentral is "long non-coding RNA (EGUI_LNC003249)". Lineage: Eukaryota; Viridiplantae; Streptophyta; Magnoliopsida; Arecales; Arecaceae. The record is from RNAcentral.
CUGCAGAUUGAUUUUUUCGUUUAAAAAUUUUUGAAUAACAAAAAUAUUUUUAUUUUUAAAAAAAUUAUGAUAUUCUGUGCAUGUUAUAAUAUCCUAUGGAUAAAAAAUUAUGACUUGCUGAAUGCAGGAUGUCAUAAUAUAGAUAUGGAAUAUCAUAAUUUUAUCAAAGAAUAAAAGUAUUUUCAUAAUACAAAAUUUUUAAACGAAAAAAUCAAUCAGCAGGUAUUAAAUAUGUAUUAGAAAGCGGUGUUACGUAGAUCAAUCAGAUA